CCUCGGCGCUACUUCUCCCCGGUUAGGUCCGCCCAGCUUUAUGUCUCUCCAGCCGUGACGUUCUGACCCUGUCGAAGUUGCCUGUAGUCCCGUCCGUUAUACCGGCCUGUUUCCUAAAUAAACAUCUUAAAACUGUG
Molecule: long non-coding RNA, 137 nt
Organism: Fundulus heteroclitus (mummichog)
Lineage: Eukaryota; Metazoa; Chordata; Actinopteri; Cyprinodontiformes; Fundulidae
Exons: 2
Source: RefSeq, a predicted model, not a curated record